CGGCGUGCCUAAUACAUGCAAGUCGAGCGGACGGAUGGGAGCUUGCUCCCUGAAGUCAGCGGCGGACGGGUGAGUAACACGUGGGCAACCUGCCUGUAAGACUGGGAUAACUUCGGGAAACCGGAGCUAAUACCGGAUAACUCUUUCCCUCACAUGAGGGAAAGCUGAAAGAUGGUUUCGGCUAUCACUUACAGAUGGGCCCGCGGCGCAUUAGCUAGUUGGUGAGGUAACGGCUCACCAAGGCAACGAUGCGUAGCCGACCUGAGAGGGUGAUCGGCCACACUGGGACUGAGACACGGCCCAGACUCCUACGGGAGGCAGCAGUAGGGAAUCUUCCGCAAUGGACGAAAGUCUGACGGAGCAACGCCGCGUGAGUGAUGAAGGUUUUCGGAUCGUAAAAC
RNAcentral lists this ribosomal RNA (401 nucleotides) under Bacillus sp. CCMM B637. RNAcentral describes it as "bacterial SSU rRNA". It matches the Rfam family "Bacterial small subunit ribosomal RNA", at positions 40 to 431 of the family's 1533-position model. The record is from RNAcentral. Lineage: Bacteria; Bacillati; Bacillota; Bacilli; Caryophanales; Bacillaceae.